GAUGAACGCUGGCGGCGUGCCUAAUACAUGCAAGUCGAGCGAACAGAUAAGGAGCUUGCUCCUUUGACGUUAGCGGCGGACGGGUGAGUUACACGUGGAUAACCUACCUAUAAGACUGGGAUAACUUCGGGAAACCGGAGCUAAUACCGGAUAACAUAUUGAACCGCAUGGUUCAAUAGUGAAAGGCGGCUUUGCUGUCACUUAUAGAUGGAUCCGCGCCGUAUUAGCUAGUUGGUAAGGUAACGGCUUACCAAGGCAACGAUACGUAGCCGACCUGAGAGGGUGAUCGGCCACACUGGAACUGAGACACGGUCCAGACUCCUACGGGAGGCAGCAGUAGGGAAUCUUCCGCAAUGGGCGAAAGCCUGACGGAGCAACGCCGCGUGAAUGAUGAAGGUCUUCGGAUCGUAAAACUCUGUUAUCUGGGAAGAACAAAUGUGUAAGUAACUGUGCACAUCUUGACGGUACCUGAUCAGAAAGCCACGGCUAACUACGUG
This 497-nucleotide ribosomal RNA is filed under the name uncultured bacterium. RNAcentral describes it as "partial 16S ribosomal RNA". It matches the Rfam family "Bacterial small subunit ribosomal RNA", at positions 28 to 507 of the family's 1533-position model. The record is from RNAcentral.